Long non-coding RNA from Topomyia yanbarensis, 1409 nucleotides. RefSeq lists it as uncharacterized. The transcript is spliced from 3 exons. Lineage: Eukaryota; Metazoa; Arthropoda; Insecta; Diptera; Culicidae. The record is from RefSeq and is a predicted model, not a curated record.
AGUUGGAAUCAAGCAUAUUUUCGAGAAAUUGCAUAGCUAAAAAGAAAGACCCUCGUAGCGGGUGAGAUAUAUGUAGACUGCGAGAAAAAACACCCGAGUGUGUGAGAGACAGAGAGCCGAGAAAUCCGCCGCCGAAGAGAUCGCGUUGUGCGUGUUCACAAACCGGUUUCUUAAGCUACACUGAUUCAUAACCGGCUCGUCGAGCCGGCUCUGGCUUGUGGUAGAUUAGAUACUACGUUCGCUCGCAGGUUCAACGGUCGGAGGGGUCUUACGAUGGCGUUUUGUUGGUUUUGAAAAUUAAUUUAGAGUUUAUCAAAAAAUAAUUUCCUUCUUUAAUAGCGAGAUUUUGUGUUUCAAUUUUGAUGAAACUUUCAGUGUUGAUUUAUGCAUAUACAGGAUGGAUUUUGGCCCAAUAUCACCUUCCUAGUGUAACGGAAAGUGUGAUAAAACGGGUAUGGAAACUACCAAUAAUACCGCCAGGCUCAUGGUGUUUGACAUGAAUUUUUGGAAUGGCUGCAAUCCAUCAAAACACCAUCACCAUGGUCCAGUAGAUACUAUCUAGUCUUACCAAGUACGCUAACCAACAUUAUUCUUGGGUUCAAAAGUACGAAGCCGCUGAACUUUUACCAUACCACAUUAUCACUGAAGGAUAUUUGAGUUAAAAAGUUGGUCAACAUAAGAUACCUGACAAUUCUCCCUGCGACAUCACAGUUAUCUAAACUUUGGAGCAAAUUAUCAAGCGAUAAUAAUAUGGCGAUGUGCAGCCACGUUUGACAAACCGGGCGGCGACGGUUUCUCUGCAAGUUCCGCGAGAGUACAUCACGGAGAGACGCUGGCUUAAACGUUACCCUAAGCCUGAGGCGAUCGUGUUUUCAACCGGUUCGCAAAGCGCGCAACUAGCGGUUCGAGAUCUACAUACCUACGGAGCGAGAGAGAGAACGUGCUGACUCUGCGGAGAGAUUUGGUUCUGAGCGCGCGCAAGAGAAAUCUGAAGAUAAUAUGCUAAUGAGCUGCUUGGUGGUAGCAUUUUAAUAAAUCCGUAGACAGACAUGCGUACAGUUGGACACAUGCUUUUUUUCUUCUUAUUUUGUUUCGGAGAAUGUGUCCGGAGUUCAAAUAGGAGUGCACUGCUAACGGAGAGAAAUCGCGCACAGAAAGCCGGUCACCGUGUUUCACUGCUUUUGCGCACACGUUUUACCUAUUUCGCGAUCGUGUGGUGUGCGGUAACAAUACAUGCCAUUAGCCGGUACGGUUUCAGAUGAAGCGCGAUCGGGCCACCGACAGAAAAAAUAAAACAGCGCCAGGCUGCAAUUAUUUCUAACCGAGAGUGCAGAUUUUCGGUAACGAUGAGCAAUAAUAGGCUGUUACGUAUUUGGCGGUAAGUGAAAUUUGGGAGUUUCGGUGUCGAA